GUGAGGAAUAUUGCGCAAUGGAGGCAACUCUGACGCAGCCAUGCCGCGUGCAGGAAGAAGGCGCUACGCGUUGUAAACUGCUUUUAACCGGGAAGAAACCCCAGGACGUGUCCUGGGUUGACGGUACCGGAGGAAUAAGCACCGGCUAACUUCGUGCCAGCAGCCGCGGUAAUACGAAGGGUGCAAGCGUUAUCCGGAUUCCUUGGGUUCAAUGGGUGCGUAGGCGGAGCGUUAAGUCUGUGGUGAAAUCCUGCAGCUUAACUGUAGACUUGCCAUUGAUACUGGCGCUCUUGAGUGCGCUUGAAGUGGGCGGAAUGUGCCGUGUAGCGGUGAAAUACUUAGAUAUGGCACAGAACACCAAUUGCGAAGGCAGCUCACUAAGGCGAUACUGACGCUGAGGCACGAAAGCGUGGGGAUCGAACAGGAUUAGAUACCCUUGUAGUCC
RNAcentral lists this ribosomal RNA (445 nucleotides) under uncultured bacterium. Its description in RNAcentral is "partial 16S ribosomal RNA". It matches the Rfam family "Bacterial small subunit ribosomal RNA", at positions 354 to 796 of the family's 1533-position model. The record is from RNAcentral.